ACGAACGCUGGCGGCGUGCUUAACACAUGCAAGUCGAACGGUGAAGCGCCUUCCUUUUUGGUGGGUGUGGAUGAGUGGCGAACGGGUGAGUAACACGUGAGUAACCUGCCCCCUUCUUCUGGAUAACCGCAUGAAAGUGUGGCUAAUACGGGAUAUUCUGGGUCUGUCGCAUGAUGGGUCUGGGAAAGAUAUUGUUUCGGUGGGGGAUGGGCUCGCGGCCUAUCAGCUUGUUGGUGGGGUGAUGGCCUACCAAGGCGGUCACGGGUAGCCGGCCUGAGAGGGUGGACGGUCACACUGGGGCUGAGACACCGCCCAGACUCCUACGGGCGGCAGCAGUGGGUAAUAUUGCACAGUGGGCGCAAGCCUGAUGCAGCGACGCCGCGUGAGGGAUGGAGGCCUUCGGGUUGUGAACCUCUUUCGCCAGUGAAGCAGGCCUGCCUCGUUUGUGGGUGGGUUGACGGUAGCUGGAUAAGAAGCGCCGGCUAACUACGUG
RNAcentral lists this ribosomal RNA (493 nucleotides) under uncultured bacterium. Its description in RNAcentral is "partial 16S ribosomal RNA". It matches the Rfam family "Bacterial small subunit ribosomal RNA", at positions 29 to 507 of the family's 1533-position model. The record is from RNAcentral.